UACGAAGGGGGCUAGCGUUGCUCGGAUUGACUGGGCGUAAAGGGCGCGUAGGCGGUUCGUACAGUCAGACGUGAAAUUCCUGGGCUCAACCUGGGGGCUGCGCUUGAUACGUGCGGACUUGAGUGCGGAAGAGGGUCGUGGAAUUCCCAGUGUAGAGGUGAAAUUCGUAGAUAUUGGGAAGAACACCGGUGGCGAAGGCGGCGACCUGGUCCGAUACUGACGCUGAGGCGCGAAAGCGUGGGGAGCAAACAGG
Molecule: ribosomal RNA, 253 nt
Filed under: uncultured bacterium
Lineage: Bacteria
Description: partial 16S ribosomal RNA
Rfam family: Bacterial small subunit ribosomal RNA
Source: RNAcentral